This is a long non-coding RNA of Osmerus eperlanus (European smelt), 570 nucleotides long. RefSeq lists it as uncharacterized. NCBI's taxonomy places the organism in Eukaryota, Metazoa, Chordata, Actinopteri, Osmeriformes, Osmeridae. The transcript has 3 exons. The record is from RefSeq and is a predicted model, not a curated record.
AAGCCGUUUUAUCAUUUAACCAAUGAAUUCUUGAUAUCCAAAAUUCGAAUUUUGGAUAUCAAGAAUUGCAUUUUGGAUAUCAACAAUUCGAAUUUUGGAUAUCAACAAUUCAAUUCUGGAUAUCAACAAUUCGAAUUCUUGAUAUCCAGAAUUGAAUUCUGGAUAUCAACAAUGUAUGCUAAUGACUAUCAUGUGGGCGGGAGUAGGCAGGCUACGUAAAUUCUGUUUGCAAAGGCGUAACAUUUUCUACGCUAAGAGCGUUGCCCACUGCGGCCAUUGUAGACUUUGCAAUCCGUUGGCGUUCGGUUUAGUUCAACAAUGAUUUUGAAAAUUGAUUAAAUUGGAUGUUUUGAGACCCCAAAAAACGUAAUCAUUGUCCUAAUUUUUAUGAAUGUAUUGUACGUGUAACAUAUUUAUCUGGGUUCAGAUUAAAUUCCACUAAAUUGGGAGAACUUCGCCAUCUACUGUUCAAAUGUGUACCUGCUCCGAGUAGCUAUAGCGUGGCAUUGUGGGGAAUUUCCAAGAAAGACAUCUCACAUAGGUCACAUACGCACGAAAAUGUAUGAGACU